AGUGUUACUCAUGCUGCCUCCAUCCCUGGUGCCCUCUCUGUAUCUCUGUGCCUUUGUGCACACUGCUUCCUCUGCCUGGAAGCCCUUCUUCCUUUCUCCACACAACACAUCCCUCCUUACUCAUUAAAGUCCCGUACAAAUGCUAAAGGCAGCUGAUCUUGUCAGCAAACUUGGCCACCAAAUAGAAAAUCUCCUUCUAUGCCCACUAGUCAUGGACAAAACUCAAAAGUUGCAUGGGAACUUCAGUUAUCGGGCAAUGUUACCAGGGUUUGGGGCAGAAGGAACAGAUAAAAGGGACAAUUCUAAGGAAGAUGAUUGAAAGACUGACCCCAAUGUGGAGAGGAUGAUUCCAGCACUACUCGUACUGCACUAGGACCUGGUAAGGGCAGUAAUAAUGAAGACAAAACUUUUGUUACUGGGAUUUAGAAGAAGGCUUUCCUGCAAGCACCAAAUGGCUAUGCAAGAAUGCAAAUUGCAAGAGGGCAGAUAAAUGGUUCAUUCUGUUUCUAUUCACCGUUUCAUCGCAGGAAUGGAAGCAUAAUAGGCUCUCAGAACAUUUUUGUUCAGUGUUCAAUUGAUGAACAUAGGAGAGAGCUCAGGCUAACUUGGAAGUCAUUUAUGUGUAAGCACAGGGCAACUGGUUGUUACAGAAAAGAGAACAUUCAAGAAAUCAUGGAGGUGGAAUACAGGAACCUGGGCACCACAUACGCAGAUUACGUGUUGCUCCGGGUUCUUUUGCCUUGACUUCAUAUCUGCCCCCUCAGUCUCUCCAGGAUACAAUGUGGAAAACAUGGCCACUGACAGGUUGGCAUAACUGCCAGAAUAGCUUUAUUCAUCAGAAAGACAGGGACUGUCCUACUUACUACCAGUUCUAAAAUCCCUAGAAAAAG
Molecule: long non-coding RNA, 890 nt
Filed under: Homo sapiens (human)
Lineage: Eukaryota; Metazoa; Chordata; Mammalia; Primates; Hominidae
Description: long intergenic non-protein coding RNA 2647
Source: RNAcentral